RNAcentral lists this ribosomal RNA (497 nucleotides) under uncultured bacterium. RNAcentral describes it as "partial 16S ribosomal RNA". It matches the Rfam family "Bacterial small subunit ribosomal RNA", at positions 28 to 507 of the family's 1533-position model. The record is from RNAcentral.
GAUGAACGCUGGCGGCGUGCCUAAUACAUGCAAGUCGAGCGGAAGGACGAGAAGCCUUGCUCUCUGAUGUUAGCGGCGGACAGGGGAGUAAAACGUGGAUAAACCACCCAUAAGACUGGGGUAAACUCGGGGAAACGUAGCUUAAAACCGAAAAUAAUUUUAACCGCAUGGUUCAAAAGUGCAAGACCGUCUUGCUGUUAAUUAUAGAUGGAUCCGCGCUGCAUUAGCUAGUUGGUAAGGUAACGGCUUACAAAGGCAACGAUGCAUAGCCGACCUGAGAGGGUGAUCGGCCACACUGGAACUGAGACACGGUCCAGACUCCUACGGGAGGCAGCAGUAGGGAAUCUUCCGCAAUGGGCGAAAGCCUGACGGAGCAACGCCGCGUGAGUGAUGAAGGUCUUCGGAUCGUAAAACUCUGUUAUUAGGGAAGAACAUAUGUGUAAGUAACUGUGCACAUCUUGACGGUACCUAAUCAGAAAGCCACGGCUAACUACGUG